RNAcentral lists this ribosomal RNA (743 nucleotides) under uncultured Burkholderiales bacterium. Its description in RNAcentral is "SSU rRNA". It matches the Rfam family "Bacterial small subunit ribosomal RNA", at positions 65 to 803 of the family's 1533-position model. Lineage: Bacteria; Pseudomonadati; Pseudomonadota; Betaproteobacteria; Burkholderiales. The record is from RNAcentral.
AACGGCAGCACGGACUUCGGUCUGGUGGCGAGUGGCGAACGGGUGAGUAAUGUAUCGGAACGUGCCCAGUAGCGGGGGAUAACUACGCGAAAGCGUAGCUAAUACCGCAUACGCCCUACGGGGGAAAGCAGGGGAUCGCAAGACCUUGCACUAUUGGAGCGGCCGAUAUCGGAUUAGCUAGUUGGUGGGGUAACGGCUCACCAAGGCGACGAUCCGUAGCUGGUUUGAGAGGACGACCAGCCACACUGGGACUGAGACACGGCCCAGACUCCUAUGGGAGGCAGCAGUGGGGAAUUUUGGACAAUGGGGGAAACCCUGAUCCAGCCAUCCCGCGUGUGCGAUGAAGGCCUUCGGGUUGUAAAGCACUUUUGGCAGGAAAGAAACGUCAUGGGCUAAUACCCCGUGAAACUGACGGUACCUGCAGAAUAAGCACCGGCUAACUACGUGCCAGCAGCCGCGGUAAUACGUAGGGUGCAAGCGUUAAUCGGAAUUACUGGGCGUAAAGCGUGCACAGGCGGUUCGGAAAGAAAGAUGCGAAAUCCCAGAGCUUAACUUUGGAACUGCAUUUUUAACUACCGAGCUAGAGUGUGUCAGAGGGAGGUGGAAUUCCGCGUGUAGCAGUGAAAUGCGUAGAUAUGCGGAGGAACACCGGUGGCGAAGGCAGCCUCCUGGGAUAACACUGACGCUCAUGCACGAAAGCGUGGGGAGCAAACAGGAUUAGAUAUCCUGGUAGUCCACGCCCU